UGAGGAAUAUUGGUCAAUGGGCGAGAGCCUGAACCAGCCAAGUCGCGUGAAGGAUGAAGGUUCUAUGGAUUGUAAACUUCUUUUGUCCGAGGGUAAAAAAGGCUACGUGUAGCUUCUUGCAAGUAUCGGACGAAUAAGCAUCGGCUAACUCCGUGCCAGCAGCCGCGGUAAUACGGAGGAUGCGAGCGUUAUCCGGAUUCAUUGGGUUUAAAGGGUGCGUAGGUGGCCUUUUAAGUCAGCGGUGAAAGUUUGUGGCUCAACCAUAAAAUUGCCGUUGAAACUGGAGGGCUUGAGUAUGUUUGGGGCAGGCGGAAUGUGUGGUGUAGCGGUGAAAUGCAUAGAUAUCACGCAGAACUCCGAUCGCGAAGGCAGCUUGCCAAGCUAUAACUGACACUGAAGCACGAAAGUGUGGGUAUCAAACAGGAUUAGAUACCCUGGUAGU
Molecule: ribosomal RNA, 442 nt
Filed under: uncultured Porphyromonadaceae bacterium
Lineage: Bacteria; Pseudomonadati; Bacteroidota; Bacteroidia; Bacteroidales; Porphyromonadaceae
Description: bacterial SSU rRNA
Rfam family: Bacterial small subunit ribosomal RNA
Source: RNAcentral